Molecule: long non-coding RNA, 204 nt
Filed under: Ananas comosus (pineapple)
Lineage: Eukaryota; Viridiplantae; Streptophyta; Magnoliopsida; Poales; Bromeliaceae
Description: long non-coding RNA (ACOM_LNC002121)
Source: RNAcentral
UUAAGUAGUUUUUGUGAAAACUAGAAAAAAUUUUAAGAUAAACUUCAAUUUUCCCGGCUGUGGUUUUGUAAUUUUUACUUUGUCACCUUAUGCGUUAACUAAUAUUCACUUUUCUAUCAUAUAGUUCAAAAAUUUAUACUUAACUAUUCUGUGAUUAUUAAAAAAUCUCCUUUCCUACCUUAUUUGAUAAUAAAUAUUUUUGGU